UGCGUCACUUCCGACAAAACCGAUCGCGUCAAUGGUGGAACCCGUUUAAACCGCCGCAACUCGUGAAUGAGUUCAGAAUCUUUUUUUUCAUUGCCAGGCCGACCUAAUAUUUUAGUAGAGGCUGGACAAGUGAGUCUUUGAAGAAUACGUGAAGCUCUUCAGAACCGCGCUCGCGUUAGCGCCCCCCCCUCGUGGCAGCGGAUAUAUCAGACGACAAACCACCGAGCGCGUCGUUGACGUCACAUGUGUGACUGUGACGAAACUGACCGGACAUGGCCCAGGAAGAAAGCUCUGGCAGAGCUGGACUCCGUGUGGUUGCUCGUCUGCCUUGACCUGAUGGGGUUCGAGGAAAGAAAAUUGGCGACAGUAGGUGACACAUGCAGCGAUGGAGAGCAGGGAGACGAGGAGCACCAUGCAGGCCGCGAUGACCACGUUUCUCCUCUUCUCCUUCUCGGCCUGCUGAAGCUCCCACCACUCCAGGUCACUGAACUGACAGCGUUCCCCCAUGUAGCCCGAGAGACAACUGCAACAGGCGUACGACUCCAUUUCGGGAAAGUAGAAGCAGACGCCCUGGUACAGACAGUAGGACUCGUGGGUGGAGGGGCAGCUCUCCACUGAGUUACCGUUGUGGUGCCGGAUAGUGACAUCAGCAGGGCUGCUGGUCGUCAUCACCCAUGUCGAUGCAGUCUCCUGCUCUGGAGACGGAGGAUUAUGGAUGUAAAGUGAUUCAAUUUGGUGAAUAUACACUGCCGCGGCUCCCGUUCCGAGAUCCAGAGCCUGUCCUCAAAUACGGCGAGGUCGAACGGUCGACCUGGACAAGUCGAGAGUAGAGGAGGGGAAAAACUGAGUGGACGAGCUGAUGCCAGGAUCCGCCGGUCCGAGCCAUCCAGGCCAGCCGUCUCUACCACGCCCCUGCGUUGGUCGCACCAGAACAGACGAUCCUCCGUGAAGUCGAUGGCCAGGCCGCCAGGUGACACAAGGUUCGUCAUAGUGAUGGUGAAGUCUCGGUGAUGUCGACUCUGAAUAGCGUUUGAGAACUUUGCUUUGUGCACAGACACACUCCAACGACAAGAGAGGCAGGGAGCGUCUGACAGAGUGAUGCGCCUUCAUCUCCUUAAAGGAAACCGCGUCUUCCCUCCACGUCGACUCUGGAUCAGUGGAAAAUUGGAAAACAGAGAGGGGUAACCGCUGGAGAAGUCCCUGCAGAGAAGAGGAAGUGAGGACCAGACUGGGUUCAUGUUCUCUUCACCUGUAAAAUGAGGGUCCUGAGGGCGAGGAGGCGACCCUGACUUGCAGCAUCGUGGAGGGGUGAGCGGUCGGCCCAGGAUCCUGGAUGGGGAAUAAGAAUGCUCACCGUGUCGUUGGCCGUAGUCGUAGAACUCUGCUGAUAUCCUGGCCGCCUCCUUACGGUUCCCACGGACGAUGUAGAAGUAUGUCAGCAAGUUGAGGGAAAUCUUGACAAAGAGCUUGAAGCAGAACAGUGCCAAGAUGCUGAGAGGAGCCUGCGACGAUGAAGGCGAGGAUCAGACGCUAACUCCGGAAAAAAAGCACAAGAGGAGACGACUUUUUUUCCUCCCGGGGUCCUGGGGACCGGUUGGCUCGUUCCUGACAAAGUACAGACUGGAAAAAAAAAAAUGC
Scophthalmus maximus (turbot) is the source of this 1638-nucleotide long non-coding RNA. RefSeq lists it as uncharacterized. Lineage: Eukaryota; Metazoa; Chordata; Actinopteri; Pleuronectiformes; Scophthalmidae. The transcript is spliced from 13 exons. The record is from RefSeq and is a predicted model, not a curated record.